GGCAGUAUGAACGCACGCGUUGACAUCGUACAACCCUCGCAAAACUUGUCAGUCGGGGCAUCCGCCGAUCAGUCAUUAAAAUGCCGCACAGCCACCUCUCGUAGUUGUCUCAGAAGAAGAAAAUGAUGUUCUGCGCGUCUAUACCGACUUAACUGGUGACACUCCGUCCUCCAACUACACUGGGGGAACACUGUGAUCUGAAUAUUUCGGG
Molecule: long non-coding RNA, 211 nt
Organism: Ornithodoros turicata
Lineage: Eukaryota; Metazoa; Arthropoda; Arachnida; Ixodida; Argasidae
Exons: 3
Source: RefSeq, a predicted model, not a curated record